UGUAGCCAAUGAAGGAAAUACUGUGGAACCAGGAACCAAGAUUGCAGUCAUUUCAAAGAAUGGUGAAGGUAUUACACAGGCUGCUCCAUCUGAGGAGGAGAAACAGAAAAAGAGGCUCCUCAGCCAUCUCAUCCUGCAGAAAAGGAUAGUGCUGAUAAGCAAAAGCCAAAAGCAAAAUAUGCUCCUGUGAAGGAUAAACAUAAAGCACCAUCCCCACCACCAACCAAGGCCUCAGCUACAGAACCUUAUCUUCCUCCCAAGGAAAGGGAAAGACGAUUUUGGAACUUCAUCAUGAUUGGAGGUUCCUAUGACAAGCGAAGGAGUAUAUUCCAGAUCUCUAUCUACUGACAUACAACAUAUGCAGCUUUUGGAAUCUCUAUAUGCUGCUGAAGGCUCCGAAGUAUUGGAUCGUCUGAGCAACAAACAAUUGCUUUAUAUGAACAUAGACUAUGCAAUUGACAUCUUUCUGAUAUAUGUUCUGACACUGUUAAUCUUCCC
Long non-coding RNA from Macadamia integrifolia, 498 nucleotides. RefSeq lists it as uncharacterized. The record is from RefSeq and is a predicted model, not a curated record. Lineage: Eukaryota; Viridiplantae; Streptophyta; Magnoliopsida; Proteales; Proteaceae. The transcript is spliced from 2 exons.